GCAAGUCGAACGGUAACAGGCCGCAAGGUGCUGACGAGUGGCGAACGGGUGAGUAAUGCAUCGGAACGUGCCCAGUCGUGGGGGAUAACGCAGCGAAAGCUGCGCUAAUACCGCAUACGAUCUAUGGAUGAAAGCGGGGGACCGUAAGGCCUCGCGCGAUUGGAGCGGCCGAUGUCAGAUUAGGUAGUUGGUGGGGUAAAGGCUCACCAAGCCAACGAUCUGUAGCUGGUCUGAGAGGACGACCAGCCACACUGGAACUGAGACACGGUCCAGACUCCUACGGGAGGCAGCAGUGGGGAAUUUUGGACAAUGGGCGCAAGCCUGAUCCAGCAAUGCCGCGUGCAGGAAGAAGGCCUUCGGGUUGUAAACUGCUUUUGUACGGAACGAAACGGUCUGAGUUAAUACCUCGGGCUAAUGACGGUACCGUAAGAAUAAGCACCGGCUAACUACGUGCCAGCAGCCGCGGUAAUACGUAGGGUGCAAGCGUUAAUCGGAAUUACUGGGCGUAAAGCGUGCGCAGGCGGUGAUGUAAGACAGUCGUGAAAUCCCCGGGCUCAACCUGGGAAUUGCGAUUGUGACUGCAUCGCUGGAGUGCGGCAGAGGGGGAUGGAAUUCCGCGUGUAGCAGUGAAAUGCGUAGAUAUGCGGAGGAACACCGAUGGCGAAGGCAAUCCCCUGGGCCUGCACUGACGCUCAUGCACGAAAGCGUGGGGAGCAAACAGGAUUAGAUACCCUGGUAGUCCACGCCCUAAACGAUGUCAACUGGUUGUUGGGUCUCUUCUGACUCAGUAACGAAGCUAACGCGUGAAGUUGACCGCCUGGGGAGUACGGCCGCAAGGUUGAGACUCAAAGGAAUUGACGGGGACCCGCACAAGCGGUGGAUGAUGUGGUUUAAUU
This 896-nucleotide ribosomal RNA is filed under the name uncultured Comamonadaceae bacterium. RNAcentral describes it as "bacterial SSU rRNA". It matches the Rfam family "Bacterial small subunit ribosomal RNA", at positions 57 to 951 of the family's 1533-position model. The record is from RNAcentral. Lineage: Bacteria; Pseudomonadati; Pseudomonadota; Betaproteobacteria; Burkholderiales; Comamonadaceae.